This 253-nucleotide ribosomal RNA is filed under the name uncultured bacterium. RNAcentral's name for it is "partial 16S ribosomal RNA". It matches the Rfam family "Bacterial small subunit ribosomal RNA", at positions 524 to 776 of the family's 1533-position model. The record is from RNAcentral.
UACGUAGGUGGCAAGCGUUAAUCGGAAUUACUGGGCGUAAAGCGUGCGCAGGCGGUUUUGUAAGUCUGUCGUGAAAGCCCCGGGCUCAACCUGGGAAUUGCGAUGGAGACUGCAAGGCUUGAAUCUGGCAGAGGGGGGUAGAAUUCCACGUGUAGCAGUGAAAUGCGUAGAGAUGUGGAGGAACACCGAUGGCGAAGGCAGCCCCCUGGGUCAAGAUUGACGCUCAUGCACGAAAGCGUGGGGAGCGAACAGG